RNAcentral lists this long non-coding RNA (3364 nucleotides) under Zostera marina. Its description in RNAcentral is "long non-coding RNA (ZMAR_LNC005978)". Lineage: Eukaryota; Viridiplantae; Streptophyta; Magnoliopsida; Alismatales; Zosteraceae. The record is from RNAcentral.
AUGUAUUGAAUUUUUAUAGGUUUUCAUAAUCGAAUUUAUGAAUAGGUUAUGCCAAAAUUUUUAUAGGUUUUUAAAUUAGUAAAAAAAAAUUUUUGCCUUCGGCGAAUCUUACCCCUCCUGUCAGGGAAUCCUGGAUACGCCACUGGUUGAAACAGAAAAUCAUUCAAAUGAGUGAGGUUCUUUUAUACUAUAUGAAUGUACACUAAGUUGGAACUAAAUAAUAAAAAAUAGAAAAAACCUCUGAAAUAAUGAUAUUAGUAGGAAGUAAAUUAAAAAGAACGCCUGAAAUAUGAUUCAAACUAAAAUCAUGAUACUGAAAUAGAAAAACUAAAAUCAUAAUACUGAAAAUGAUACAAACUAAAAUUUCAUUAGAAAAAAAACAUUAGAAACUGUAAAGAAGUUUAUCACACUACAAGAAAUAAGACCUUGUAUGGCGGUCUUUAGAUGGCGGAAAUCCGCCAUCUAAAGUGAUCCUCGACGGAAAUCCGCCAUCUAAAGACCGUCAUCUUGGACACCGCCAUUAAAACCCCUAAACCGCCAUCUAAAGACCGCCAUCUAUUAUCCAUCCCCAUUUCCCACCAAAAAUUGUAUUCCGCCAUCUAAUCUGAAAAUUUUCGCGCGAACUGAAAAGUUUUAGAUAGCAGAAAUCCGCCAUCUAAAAUAUGGCGCGGGAUAGGCCGAUGCUGGACGAACAGGUGGUGCUGGAUGAACCGGGAGAUAAAACCGAAAAGCAUCUUGGAGAUUGGGUGGUAGAGCCCUCCUACGAGGUAAUUGCUUCACUCUACGUGGCAUUUCUUAAAAUCUAAAAAAAUAUUUAAUUAAUUAAUUAAAUAUUUUUUAAACAAACAAAUAAUUAAUUCAUUAAUGAUUUCAUGGAAAAUUAAUGAUUAUUAUUUCAAUUUAAAAUAAUUCAAUUUAAUAAUUAUUCAUUAUGAUUUCUAUAAUUUCAUGCAAAUUAAUCAUUAAUAAUUAACAAAUUUAAAAUUUCAUACAAAUUAAUUUCAUGCAAAUUAAUUAAAUUGUAUUAAGAUUAAUUAAAUAUUUUUAAAAUUAAAUGAUUAAAUAUUAAUUAUUAACAAAUUAUUUUAUUUCAUGCAAAUUAAUUAAUAUUUAAUAAUUGUAAAUUAAUUAAUAAUUAUUUAAUAUUCAAUUUAAUAAGUCAAUUGUUAAUUUCAUGGAAAUUAAUUAAAUCAUUCUAUUCAUAAUUAAUUUACAAAUUAAUAAUUAUUUUUUCAAUUUAAUAAUUAGUUAAUUAAAUUUUUAUUUCAAUUGAAAAUUUAAUCAUUUCAUUUUACAAUAAAUUUAAUUAAUAAAUUAAAAAUUAGUUAAUUAAAGAAAUAAAUUUAAAUUUUUACCGCAAUAUAGCUUCCAAAUCCGAAUUUCACAAAAGAUCAGUUUUCAGAACCUACAACGUAUAAGUAUAAAACAAAAUAAUUAUUUUAAUUAAUUUUUAAAUUAUAUAAAACAAUAGAAUUAUUUAAUUAUUUCAACAAAAUUAUUAAUUAUUUAAUUAAAAACAGUAAAUCAAAUAAUUAAUUUCAUUAAUUUUAAAAAUAUUUAAAAACAGUAAAUUAUUUAUUUAUUUCAAAAUAUUAUUAAUUCUUUAAUUAAAAACAGUAAAUAAAAUAAAGAUUUUAAAUUAUUUUUAAAAUUAUUUAUUAAUUCUUUAAUUUAAAAACAGUAAAUUAUUUAUUUAUUUAUUUAAAGAAAAUAUUAAUUAUUUAAAAACACUAAUUUGUUUUAUUAAUUCAAUAAUAACAGUAAUUAUUAUUUUAAUUAAAUACACUUUCAUUUAAUUUAAAAACAUAAAAACAGUCAAUUAUUUAUUUAUUUAUUUAAAAAAAUUAUAUUUAUUCAUAUUUAAUUAUUAACAUAUACAAUACAUUAAUGUAAAUUGUUAAUUAAUUACUACUUUUUAAAAAAAUAACAUUCAAUUAAAUAAUUAUUAAUUAUUAAACAAUAUUAUUUUACAAUUUAAUAAAUAAUAAAACAUAUUAUUUUUUAACAUAAACAUUUAAUAUUUCAUUAAUAACAUAUUAAUUUUAUUGCAAUUAAUUACUUGAAUUCAUGCAAAUUAAUUAAUUACAUUCAAAAACACAUUAAUUAUUUUAUAUAAAUUUUAAAUUAUUUAAAAACAUAAAUUAAUUAAUUAUUUUAAUUAAUUUUUAAAUAAUUUUAAAACAGAAAAUAAUUAAAACAAAUUUAUUUCAUGCAAAUAAUUAAUUAAGAUAUAGAUUCAUGUAAAUUAUUAAUUAAAUUGAUAUAUAAUUACAAUUAUUUAAAUAAUUUAAAAAUAAGUUGAUUAAAUAAAAAAUUUAAUUAUUUUCUGUUUGAAAAUAAUUAUAUAAUAAAAUAAUUAUUUCUUUAAAUUCUUUCUAAUAUAUAAAUUAAAACAAUAUAAAAACAGUAAUUAAAUAAUUCAUUUUAAAUUAUAUUUACAAAUAUAUUAAACAUAAACUUUCACAGAUCGAUAUAUACCUUCGCAGAUGAAGAUCGAUACCUUCCCAGAUCAAUACCUUCACAAAUCGAUACCUUCACAAAUUAAUAUAUUGAUGAAGAUUAGUAUAUAUUAAUAAAUCAAUAGAAAGGAUUAGUACACUAAUUAAACAAACUAAAACAGUACAUAAACUAACUAAAAAAUACAAUAACUAAAUGAUGCAAUAUAAUUCCAAUUACUUGACAAUAAUACAUGAAAAUGUAUAAUUCAUUUAUAAAACAUUCAUAUAACACUAAAAUAACACUCAUUCAUCACUUAUUUGAGUUUGAUUAAAAGUAAUCACUUAAUUUAUUAACAAAUAAACAGUAGAUUAGUUGAUAAUUAACAAUAACAAACAAACAAAGAUAAACCCAAUCAUCAAAACAGUAGAUUCCAAUAACAAACAAACAUAGAUUAUAGUUGAUACUUAAAUAACAAACAAACAUAUCCACAAAAUAACAAAAUCAUAAUAAAAAAUCCAAAAAAAAAAAUCAAACAUAGAUAAUAUAUAUAGUAUAUAUGAUUCCAAACAUUCCAACACCAUAAAUCAAAAUCAAAUUUCCUAACAUUCAAACACCAUAAAUAAUUCCAUACAUAAAUAAACAAAUAAAAAAUACCAACAAAAAGAUAGAUAGAUAAAGAGAUCAAUAGAUUAGAAUGAAGAACAAAACCCAUCACAAAAACCAUUACAAAAGAUGGAUAGGUAAAGAUCAAAUGCAAUAAUAGAAAAUCAAAAUAUAAAAAAUAACCCAUCACAUACCUUCACAGAUGACCGGCGAGGUGAGGGGCAGCGCACGGCGAGGCGAGACCGACCGGCAGGAGCGAGCGGCGGCGAGAAAUCGGGAGUCGGCGGUCGGCAGUCUGGAUUUCGCGAAUGUGCGUUCUCUG